This is a long non-coding RNA of Spinacia oleracea (spinach), 606 nucleotides long. RefSeq lists it as uncharacterized. The record is from RefSeq and is a predicted model, not a curated record. Lineage: Eukaryota; Viridiplantae; Streptophyta; Magnoliopsida; Caryophyllales; Amaranthaceae. The transcript is spliced from 3 exons.
UUGUUUUGGGUCUUAUUCACAUUGAGAGCUCUACACUUCACCUUACAAACCACUCGUUGAUUAUUUGCUUUCUUCCUGGUAGUAAUUUACCAAAUCCCAGGUAUUAUUAUCAAAGCCUCAACUUCCUCAUUCCUUGCAUUGUGCCACUCGGGACAAAAGACCACCUUUUCCUAACUGGAUAUUUAAGAAAUAGAGAUUCCCAAGUAGAAAAAGACAUACUGUAUGGUUUCUUUGAUAUGAUUGAUGACUUGGUGUAACGUUUCUUCUCUCAUUUGCCUGCUGGAACAGACAGAUACAUUUUAUAUAACAAAAUCUUUUCCCUGGCAGAUAUUAUUAUCACUCCGACAAUUGGGAAAAGGCUUCCAUAGGGACUGAAAUAGUCUGUCAUUCUUAAGAAGGCACUAUAAGAAAUAUGCCUAGUGAAGAAACAAGUGUACAGAUGAAACUUCCAACAAUGUGGUACCAAGCAGAAAUUCUCAAUUGGUCAUAAUUGGAAACAUAGUUGACAACUUUGAAGUCAAGUUUACCAGCCUUGCAGGAUCCAAGUUACGGGGUUUUUUGUGCAAUCAAUUUGGCCGGUGUUCACUGUGCAAGCAUCAUAGAGAG